UAAUGACGGUGAGGAAAAUUUUUGAGCAUAACCUUGAAUCUUUCCCCAGAUUGGUAAAGAUUCUCUCCAUCUUUCUACUUGAAACUCAGAAUCUCGCUUCUCAAACG
Capsicum annuum is the source of this 107-nucleotide non-coding RNA. Lineage: Eukaryota; Viridiplantae; Streptophyta; Magnoliopsida; Solanales; Solanaceae. The record is from Rfam.